GGCAGCACGGAGCUUGCUCUGGUGGCGAGUGGCGAACGGGUGAGUAAUAUAUCGGAACGUACCCUAGAGUGGGGGAUAACGUAGCGAAAGUUACGCUAAUACCGCAUACGAUCUAAGGAUGAAAGUGGGGGAUCGCAAGACCUCAUGCUCGUGGAGCGGCCGAUAUCUGAUUAGCUAGUUGGUAGGGUAAAAGCCUACCAAGGCAUCGAUCAGUAGCUGGUCUGAGAGGACGACCAGCCACACUGGAACUGAGACACGGUCCAGACUCCUACGGGAGGCAGCAGUGGGGAAUUUUGGACAAUGGGCGAAAGCCUGAUCCAGCAAUGCCGCGUGAGUGAAGAAGGCCUUCGGGUUGUAAAGCUCUUUUGUCAGGGAAGAAACGGUGAGAGCUAAUAUCUUUUGCUAAUGACGGUACCUGAAGAAUAAGCACCGGCUAACUACGUGCCAGCAGCCGCGGUAAUACGUAGGGUGCAAGCGUUAAUCGGAAUUACUGGGCGUAAAGCGUGCGCAGGCGGUUUUGUAAGUCUGAUGUGAAAUCCCCGGGCUCAACCUGGGAAUUGCAUUGGAGACUGCAAGGCUAGAAUCUGGCAGAGGGGGGUAGAAUUCCACGUGUAGCAG
RNAcentral lists this ribosomal RNA (618 nucleotides) under Janthinobacterium sp. w1. RNAcentral's name for it is "bacterial SSU rRNA". It matches the Rfam family "Bacterial small subunit ribosomal RNA", at positions 68 to 681 of the family's 1533-position model. Lineage: Bacteria; Pseudomonadati; Pseudomonadota; Betaproteobacteria; Burkholderiales; Oxalobacteraceae. The record is from RNAcentral.